This 478-nucleotide ribosomal RNA is filed under the name uncultured bacterium. RNAcentral describes it as "partial 16S ribosomal RNA". It matches the Rfam family "Bacterial small subunit ribosomal RNA", at positions 28 to 523 of the family's 1533-position model. The record is from RNAcentral.
GACGAACGCUGGCGGCGUGCUUAACACAUGCAAGUCGAACGGUAAGGCCCUUCGGGGUACACGAGUGGCGAACGGGUGAGUAACACGUGGGUGAUCUGCCCUGCACUUCGGGAUAAGCCUGGGAAACUGGGUCUAAUACCGGAUAGGACCCUGGGAUGCAUGUCCUGGGGUGGAAAGCUUUUGCGGUGUGGGAUGGGCCCGCGGCCUAUCAGCUUGUUGGUGGGGUGAUGGCCUACCAAGGCGACGACGGGUAGCCGGCCUGAGAGGGUGACCGGCCACACUGGGACUGGGAUACGGCCCAGACUCCUAGGGGAGGCAGCAGUGGGGAAUAUUGCACAAUGGGCGCAAGCCUGAUGCAGCGACGCCGCGUGAGGGAUGACGGCCUUCGGGUUGUAGACCUCUUUCAGCACCGACGAAGCGCAAGUGACGGUAGGUGCAGAAGAAGGACCGGCCAACUACGUGCCAGCCGCCGCGGUAA